GAUUGCGGUGUGUGAAGACGCAAUGAACCGAAAGUUCGCAACCAUUCACAAAAGCCGCACAAACUAUCGCAUACCCAAUUUGCUGAAACGUCGAAAGACGGUUCGGUACCCGAAUUUCUUGACGACCAUAGAGCAUUGGAACCACCUGAUCCCAUCCCGAACUCAGAAGUGAAACGAUGCAUCGCCGAUGGUAGUGUGGGGUUUCCCCAUGUGAGAGUAGGUCAUCGUCAAGA
This 233-nucleotide ribosomal RNA is filed under the name Pseudomonas sp. URMO17WK12:I6. Lineage: Bacteria; Pseudomonadati; Pseudomonadota; Gammaproteobacteria; Pseudomonadales; Pseudomonadaceae. The record is from RNAcentral.